This is a long non-coding RNA of Helicoverpa armigera (cotton bollworm), 371 nucleotides long. RefSeq lists it as uncharacterized. The transcript is spliced from 2 exons. Lineage: Eukaryota; Metazoa; Arthropoda; Insecta; Lepidoptera; Noctuidae. The record is from RefSeq and is a predicted model, not a curated record.
CCCAGGUGGGAGAGUUGAACCACCUUUCAAAAUUGUAUUUGAAUUUAUCGCGAACGAAACGACAAAGCGUUCAUUGGUCGCACUCAAGAGGCCAAUCAUAAGUAUGCAGAAAUUUUGCAUCUUAGUGGUGUGGUUCGUCAGUGACAAUGUAAAACGUGUUUUUGUUGCUGCGGAGUGUAUUUUCUUGUUUUAAGUAGUUUUGUGAUUGCUGUCAUAUUUAUCGAGUGCCAACUUGUACGAUGCCUUUUCAAUACAAGCCUCCUGAAAAUGCUCGCAAACGAAAAAAACUCACAAUCAUGGAAUUGCAAAAUGCCAUAGAUGAAAUUUAGGGAGGCGCUUCUAUUCGACAAACUUCAAAUAAAUAUGGCAUA